UGUAACUUGUUUAGCUUCUUGCAGAAGCCUCUCGUCGUACGAACACCUAAACUACCAAAAUUUAUAGAGAGCUCCCGAGUUUUUCAUUUUGAGGACCACAACUAAUAUAAAUUCGGAGAGUGGUGCAUGUGGCAGCAUGAUAGAGUGGAGAUCAUAGCGAAUGAUCAGGGGAACAGAACGACGCCGUCGUAUGUGGCUUUUACUGAUACUGAGAGGCUCAUCGGUGAUGCUGCCAAGAAUCAAGUUGCCAUGAAUCCGAUUAACACUGUUUUCGGAUUCUUGGAAGAAGGCCGGUUUUCUUUUCGGACAUUAAAGUUUUAUUGUCUAAAUUUCCCCGGUCAUCUUGCAUGUCCGACGGUUAGAUAAUAAGCUUUCUUGAAUGAAAGAAUUAUCACGGUGAAUUGCCGAUUCUCGUUGA
Molecule: long non-coding RNA, 418 nt
Organism: Daucus carota subsp. sativus
Lineage: Eukaryota; Viridiplantae; Streptophyta; Magnoliopsida; Apiales; Apiaceae
Exons: 2
Source: RefSeq, a predicted model, not a curated record